RNAcentral lists this long non-coding RNA (354 nucleotides) under Bos indicus x Bos taurus (hybrid cattle). RNAcentral describes it as "lncRNA (ENSBIXG00005004618.1)". The record is from RNAcentral. Lineage: Eukaryota; Metazoa; Chordata; Mammalia; Artiodactyla; Bovidae.
UAGGCAUAUACACUUCUAACAUAUCUAUGAGAGCGAGACUAAGUGGGAGAAAAAUCAAUCAUGGGAAACACACCCAUAAAAUUGGAUCAGUCAUUGGCCAAACCAAAUGAAAACAAUAGCGGUCAUCAACAGAGCGGAUUUCCAUCAAAGUACUCAGCCAUGAUGAGAAAUGAGACUGUUGUUCUACAGAGAAAAAUCUGGAAAGAUUCUGAUGUAGCCUAUGCUAUACCUAAACGAUACAUCAAAUGGGAUAUAAGGAAUAUGGCCUUAUAAAAUUCACAAAUAGCCCUCUAAUCAAAUCCCUCUGAGAUGGUACCACACAAAUCAAAACAAUAAAUGCAUCAUUUAAUUAGC